UCCGCUAGGGGAGCCACGGCUGAGAGGCGUGAAAUCACGCCGACCCUUAUUACUUGAUCCGGCUAAUACCGGCGUAAGGAAGCAUAUU
Molecule: non-coding RNA, 88 nt
Filed under: Candidatus Caccomorpha excrementavium
Lineage: Bacteria; Bacillati; Bacillota; Clostridia
Description: TPP riboswitch (THI element)
Rfam family: TPP riboswitch aptamer (THI element)
About the family: Vitamin B(1) in its active form thiamin pyrophosphate (TPP) is an essential coenzyme that is synthesised by coupling of pyrimidine and thiazole moieties in bacteria. The previously detected thiamin-regulatory element, thi box was extended, resulting in a new, highly conserved RNA secondary structure, the THI element, which is widely distributed in eubacteria and also occurs in some archaea.
Source: RNAcentral